This is a long non-coding RNA of Corythoichthys intestinalis (scribbled pipefish), 910 nucleotides long. RefSeq lists it as uncharacterized. The record is from RefSeq and is a predicted model, not a curated record. NCBI's taxonomy places the organism in Eukaryota, Metazoa, Chordata, Actinopteri, Syngnathiformes, Syngnathidae. The transcript is spliced from 2 exons.
UGUAACAUCGUCUCAACACGUGAAGUCCGCAAAGCUAAUUGGAUUGCCAUCGACUUUCGUGCCAUUCUCAGAACGCCAAAUUCACUUGAUGUUUAUACGAAUUGUGAUUAUAUUCGCUUGAUAAAUCUUUUACUGCAUGACAUUCAUGAGAAAACAUUAAUUCCACGGAACUUCUUACCUGAGCGUGCUCCGCCAUUUUGUUCAUCUACCAUGAUGAAUAAGGAGAGAAGCAGCGGGUCGGGAGGGGUGUCCACUUCCCCCCCUCCAGGGCCGUAGAAAGAGGGUUACGACACUCCCAUAGAGAUCCAUUAUACGAUUUUACUUCCGGGUACUUCCGGGUUACGGUGCCUCGUGUAGUUCCAAACAUGGCUUCGACGAGAGCGGACCGCAUUCAUAUGAAUGGCUGGCUGUGAAGUAUAUUCGGAGGUUACUUUUCAUGAUCCACAUCAUGCUGCUGUCGGUCUACGUUCCUACCGUAACCUAUAGUCACAAACCAGGACACGCUGGAGAGACUGUGUCUCGGCUGGCCUGGGAACGCCUUUGGACCUCGCCAGAGGAGCUGGAUGAAGUGGCUGGGGAGAGGGAAGUCUGGGCUUCCCUGUUAAAGCUGCUGCCCCUGCGACUGGACCCCAGAGCAAGUGGAAGAUGAUGGAUGGAUGGACAUCAAGCUGCUGGUGGUGCCUGCUGAUGGUGACUGCUGGCUGUGCGCACUAAGCCCAUUUUUUAAAAUGGCAACAAACAAAACCAAAAAAAGCAUUUUUUUCAUGUUUUGACGACUGACCAUUGCCAUCCAUUUUUUCUGCUGCUCUUGGUCCUAGGGGAAACCAUGCUGCACACAAACCAUCACAGGCCACUGAUCUAUAAAAUGUUAGGUGUAAACAAUAAACCAUGACACCAAUUUUUUAAAAAA